UACGAAGGGGGCUAGCGUUGCUCGGAAUCACUGGGCGUAAAGCGCACGUAGGCGGAUUGUUAAGUCGGGGGUGAAAUCCUGGAGCUCAACUCCAGAACUGCCUUUGAUACUGGCGAUCUUGAGUCCGGGAGAGGUGAGUGGAACUGCGAGUGUAGAGGUGAAAUUCGUAGAUAUUCGCAAGAACACCAGUGGCGAAGGCGGCUCACUGGCCCGGUACUGACGCUGAGGAGCGAAAGUGUGGGGAGCGAACAGG
RNAcentral lists this ribosomal RNA (253 nucleotides) under uncultured bacterium. RNAcentral describes it as "partial 16S ribosomal RNA". It matches the Rfam family "Bacterial small subunit ribosomal RNA", at positions 524 to 776 of the family's 1533-position model. The record is from RNAcentral.